AAGGAAGAUGGACUUCAGAAAAGCAACUAGCACACCAAGCCCCAAUGUUAGGGCCAGAGAUGUGUUGUCUCAGUGGUAGCAGAAGCAAAUGUUAUUAGCUCCACUUUAUAGCUAAGGAAAAUUAAGCCCAGGAAAUGAGUCCAGUGGAAGGAAGGCUUUCAUUCCUUCAUAAAUAUUAAUUCAAUAAUUCAAUAGAGUCUCCAUACCUGCACUGUCUUAGGUGCAGGGAGAUACCAUGAUAAAAGGGCAGACAAUGUUGCUGCCCUCAAGGAGCUGACAUUCUAGUGGAGGAAGACAGAUGCAAAAAGGAAUGUAUGCCCACAUCACACAACUAAAUUGUGGCAUGAUGGAGUUCAACAAAAUAUGGAUACAGAGAGCAAGGUUUGAGGGUAAAUUUAACCAAGGUAGGGUAAUCAGAGGAGCCUGAUCUGAAAAGGCAGGAAUUAAAAUAAGCUCUAAAGGAUUAUUAGAAACUAGGGAGAGAGGAGCUGACUGGUAGAAAUGGGGAGUGUUUCAGGGAGAGCAAAAAGCCCAUUCAAAAACCUCAUGCAAAGAAGAGUUGGGCAAUUUGAAGAAUUGAAAUGAAACUCUAGGACUGGGCACGGAGAAUGUGAAGAAGUGAGGAGGGGUUGGAGCUGGAGAGAUAGGUGGGACUGGAUCCCAUACAACUUGGUUAAUGGGACCUGGACUGGAAAAGGAUUGUUUGUGUGGGAAUCAUUCAUGGCAAAGGCAGUGACACCUCCUUCAAAAACCUGUGUCUUUCUGGCAGAGUGUUGCUGGAGAUGGCCACUGGAGAGGCUGAGUCAAAUCAAUCUCCUCACCUGAGGACUUCCUAAGACCAGCGCACUGAAGGACCAGCAGCAACAACAACAAUAAUGCUAAUGCUCCCUUAUGGACAAGACUGCAAUUCUCUGCCUGCUGAAGCUCAGCUAUGACCACGUGACUUGCCUUGGCCAAUGAAAGAGGAAGAGUAUGUAACACUGCUGAAUGGAAGCAAGUGGCCCCUGCCCCUGCUGCAGAGAUUCUAGACAUGUGUGCCAUGCUGGAGCAAGGAGACAGGGAGUCCUGGAGAAAGGAGACAUGGAACAGAGCUCCCAGCCCAGUCAAUAUGUAACAUGAGUGAGAAAUAAAUAACACUUUGUUGCUAGAA
This 1150-nucleotide long non-coding RNA is filed under the name Homo sapiens (human). RNAcentral's name for it is "long intergenic non-protein coding RNA 3064". The record is from RNAcentral. Lineage: Eukaryota; Metazoa; Chordata; Mammalia; Primates; Hominidae.